CCGGGUUGCGGACAGUGUCUGGUGGGUAGUUUGACUGGGGCGGUCUCCUCCUAAAGAGUAACGGAGGAGCACGAAGGUUGGCUAAUCCUGGUCGGACAUCAGGAGGUUAGUGCAAUGGCAUAAGCCAGCUUGACUGCGAGCGUGACGGCGCGAGCAGGUGCGAAAGCAGGUCAUAGUGAUCCGGUGGUUCUGAAUGGAAGGGCCAUCGCUCAACGGAUAAAAGGUACUCCGGGGAUAACAGGCUGAUACCGCCCAAGAGUUCAUAUCGACGGCGGUGUUUGGCACCUCGAUGUCGGCUCAUCACAUCCUGGGGCUGAAGUAGGUCCCAAGGGUAUGGCUGUUCGCCAUUUAAAGUGGUACGCGAGCUGGGUUUAGAACGUCGUGAGACAGUUCGGUCCCUAUCUGCCGUGGGCGAUGGAGAACUGAGGGGGGCUGCUCCUAGUACGAGAGGACCGGAGUGGACGCAUCACUGGUGUUCGGGUUGUCAUGCCAAUGGCACUGCCCGGUAGCUAAAUGCGGAAGAGAUAAGUGCUGAAAGCAUCUAAGCACGAAACUUGCCCCGAGAUGAGUUCUCCCUGAGACUUAGAGUCUCCUGAAGGAACGUUGAAGACGACGACGUUGAUAGGCCGGGUGUGUAAGCGCAGCGAUGCGUUGAGCUAACCGGUACUAAUGAACCGUGAGGCUUAACCUUACAACGCCGAAG
RNAcentral lists this ribosomal RNA (703 nucleotides) under Escherichia coli. RNAcentral describes it as "partial 23S ribosomal RNA". It matches the Rfam family "Bacterial large subunit ribosomal RNA", at positions 2240 to 2925 of the family's 2925-position model. The record is from RNAcentral. Lineage: Bacteria; Pseudomonadati; Pseudomonadota; Gammaproteobacteria; Enterobacterales; Enterobacteriaceae.